Molecule: ribosomal RNA, 222 nt
Filed under: uncultured bacterium
Lineage: Bacteria
Description: partial 16S ribosomal RNA
Rfam family: Bacterial small subunit ribosomal RNA
Source: RNAcentral
GACGAGGGGUCCUAGCGUUGUUCGGAAUUACUGGGCGUAAAGCGCAUGUAGGCGGCUUUUCAAGUCAGAUGUGAAAGCCUCGGGCUCAACCUGAGAAGUGCAUUUGAUACUGUUAAGCUUGAAUAUGGGAGAGGGUAGUAGAAUUCCUGGUGUAGUGGUGAAAUACGUAGAUAUCGAGGAGGAACACCGGUGGCGGAAGGCGGGUCUCUGGGCCGUAACUGA